RNAcentral lists this ribosomal RNA (810 nucleotides) under Staphylococcus epidermidis. RNAcentral's name for it is "bacterial SSU rRNA". It matches the Rfam family "Bacterial small subunit ribosomal RNA", at positions 74 to 865 of the family's 1533-position model. Lineage: Bacteria; Bacillati; Bacillota; Bacilli; Caryophanales; Staphylococcaceae. The record is from RNAcentral.
AGGAGCUUGCUCCUCUGACGUUAGCGGCGGACGGGUGAGUAACACGUGGAUAACCUACCUAUAAGACUGGGAUAACUUCGGGAAACCGGAGCUAAUACCGGAUAAUAUAUUGAACCGCAUGGUUCAAUAGUGAAAGACGGUUUUGCUGUCACUUAUAGAUGGAUCCGCGCCGCAUUAGCUAGUUGGUAAGGUAACGGCUUACCAAGGCAACGAUGCGUAGCCGACCUGAGAGGGUGAUCGGCCACACUGGAACUGAGACACGGUCCAGACUCCUACGGGAGGCAGCAGUAGGGAAUCUUCCGCAAUGGGCGAAAGCCUGACGGAGCAACGCCGCGUGAGUGAUGAAGGUCUUCGGAUCGUAAAACUCUGUUAUUAGGGAAGAACAAAUGUGUAAGUAACUAUGCACGUCUUGACGGUACCUAAUCAGAAAGCCACGGCUAACUACGUGCCAGCAGCCGCGGUAAUACGUAGGUGGCAAGCGUUAUCCGGAAUUAUUGGGCGUAAAGCGCGCGUAGGCGGUUUUUUAAGUCUGAUGUGAAAGCCCACGGCUCAACCGUGGAGGGUCAUUGGAAACUGGAAAACUUGAGUGCAGAAGAGGAAAGUGGAAUUCCAUGUGUAGCGGUGAAAUGCGCAGAGAUAUGGAGGAACACCAGUGGCGAAGGCGACUUUCUGGUCUGUAACUGACGCUGAUGUGCGAAAGCGUGGGGAUCAAACAGGAUUAGAUACCCUGGUAGUCCACGCCGUAAACGAUGAGUGCUAAAUGUUAGGGGGGUGUCCGCCCCCUUAUUGCUGCAGCCUAACGCAUUAAAC